UCCAUUUCAGAUCCUUAAAACUCAUUUUUUUUCAUUUGAGGGGAAAAUAAGAGCACGAUCUCAUGUCACUGUUUGGUUUUUUAUUUCCAGUUGUUCAUAUAAGUUUUACCUGAUCAUGAAAAUAAAUUUUCAGAGGAGAUAACUGUACUUUCCUUAAUAUCUUCGAAGAAGUAAGUUCUUGUACCGGAGUCCAAGGAAUUCAUUACUCUUAACUUUCAUGUUUGGUGAAUACCAAUAUUAAUGAUAUUUAAUUCUGUCUUUUAUGUUUGCCUCUUUCAUCAAUACAUUCAACUUCAGUCACCUGAAUGGAAGAAA
Molecule: long non-coding RNA, 315 nt
Organism: Rhodamnia argentea
Lineage: Eukaryota; Viridiplantae; Streptophyta; Magnoliopsida; Myrtales; Myrtaceae
Exons: 2
Source: RefSeq, a predicted model, not a curated record